RNAcentral lists this long non-coding RNA (435 nucleotides) under Capsicum annuum. RNAcentral's name for it is "long non-coding RNA (CANN_LNC005619)". The record is from RNAcentral. Lineage: Eukaryota; Viridiplantae; Streptophyta; Magnoliopsida; Solanales; Solanaceae.
CUCAAUGCACCAUGUCAUUUCUGUUGUUGAACUUUCAAGAUGUAAAAGCUGCUAUUAAAAACGGUUAGUCCAUCUACUGCUUACUAAAUGCAUCUUAUGUUGCUUUCUAAAACUUAAACUUCAAGAGGUAAUCUGCUAGCUUGUGUUGCUUUCUAAAACUUACCCUUCUUUUUCGGAAUAAGUAAAUCUACACUGUUUUUACUUGUCAUUACGUACCAGUGAGGUGUUUUCUUAAUUGUACUGUAGCUAUUGAUACCUUUCAGGAGGUGAAAGUCGAUGCUAUGAGCCACUAGUCUACCACUUAGUGAUGGAGCAUGGAUCAAAAUGAUGAUGAAGCAUGGUGUUUCCCUUUUCUCAAUGUUCAUUAUGAUGUGCUAAUGUUAUUUCCAUAUCUGGAGAGCAAGACAUAUACUAUUUAUGAUAAUCUUAUUUCUG